GUCCUUUUGAUUUUUAUAUAAGGUCUGACCUGCCCUAUGAAUAUUUAAAUGGCCGCGGUAUACUAACCGUGCAAAGGUAGCAUAGUCAUUUGUCUCUUAAUUGGAGGCUUGAAUGAAGGGUUGGACGAGAUAUAAGCUUUCUUUGUUAUAUUUUAUUGAAUUUGACUUUUUAGUUAAAAGGCUUAAAUUUUUUUAUAGGACGAGAAGACCCUAUAGAAUUUUAUAUAUUUGUAUAAUUGAUUUAUUUAUUUAUUAUUUAAUUUCUUGUUUAAAUAUAUUUUGUUGGGGCGAUGGGAAGAUUUUAAUAACUCUUUUUUGUUUUGAUCAUUGAUUUAUGUUUUAUUCUGAUCCUUUUUUAGAGAUUAUAAGAUUAAAUUACCUUAGGGAUAACAGCGUAAUUCUUUUGGAGAGUUCUUAUCGAUAAAAGAGUUUGCGA
Molecule: ribosomal RNA, 436 nt
Filed under: Appasus japonicus
Lineage: Eukaryota; Metazoa; Arthropoda; Insecta; Hemiptera; Belostomatidae
Description: partial 16S rRNA
Source: RNAcentral